Long non-coding RNA from Onychostoma macrolepis, 441 nucleotides. RefSeq lists it as uncharacterized. The transcript has 3 exons. NCBI's taxonomy places the organism in Eukaryota, Metazoa, Chordata, Actinopteri, Cypriniformes, Cyprinidae. The record is from RefSeq and is a predicted model, not a curated record.
CUGGAGACCAAAGAGAGAGGAACUGCAAAGAAAGAGCAAGACAUCCAAACUACUGAAGAAGAGCAUAAUCUACACAGUAAAGUGGAGCUAACUUCUCCUGGGUCACAAUGUGGAUAUCUAGAAGGAGAUUUGUGGAGAAAAGAUGAAGAUUCACAUGACAGUAAAUCACUUGAGUUUGGAAAACCUGUGAGACGCAACAGCAACCCAUUUGAGCUACCUAAUAUGACUGGAAGUGAUCAUGGACCUUUAGACACACUCUGAAUGGACAGACUUCAAUUGGAGGACUUUCAGUUUCCACGGAUAUCUCACUUCAUCAAUGUUCAACAAAUGGCUCAAAAUGUGAUGGUCACAUAUCAAAAAUACAUGCAUGUGUGAAACUAUACAGACCACAAGCUGGAGGAAACAAUAAAUAUGUAGUUCAGUCGUGAAACUCUAGAUGGU